UUGUCAUCUCAUCUGUCACCCCCCCCCCACCACAUUCUAUUACAAUGUGUACAUGACAGGACACAGAAUGUGAACGUGAGAGAGCGAGUGUUGUGAGCAAGAGGAAAUUGAAGAAUUUAGAAUACAUCUAUAUAAAUGUAUAUGAAUGAAAGCGGAUAAUCAACACCACAUGAAGUCGUGUUUGACUGCUUGGCCCCCAGCAGGUGAACGUAGGUCAGAUAGAUGGGUAGGUAAAGCAGCUUGAUCAUUUAUUAUCUUAGAGUCGUCCACAGACACACAAGGGGACAGACAGACAGUGGGAAGAUCUCUAUUGCAUACUCCUUGUCCCUUAAAACCCAGUGGGAUGUUAGCUCUUCUGAAAGGUGACCUUAUGGGCUUUCUGUUUCAAUGACAAUCUACUUGUGGGUUUUGAGGAGACGUCUUCCCAGAUUCUCUCCUCCGACGCCUCCUGGAUAUUUAUGAAAACCUACUCCAACAAACGUUCAUAUUGUUCACCACUGUGUUCCCUCUUCUCAACUGCGGUCACUGUUCCAUAUUAAACUGCUAUCACAGCAUCGGGGAGUCGGGUAUCAUCGCAGAGAUGUUUUAACUCCUGUAGGAUAGCAUGUGUGUGUUCGGUCUAUGGCUAACCUGCUCUGUCAAUUAUAGGGGGUGUUUUUCAUUUUCAUUUUUUUGUUCUACACAAAUUAUUCACUCCUCAGAGACUGUUGAUUGGAUGGUUUAGUUCCUCAGAGACUGUUGAUUGGAUGGUUUAGUUCCUCAGAGACUGUUGAUUGGAUGGUUUAGUUCCUCAGAGACUGUUGAUUGGAUGGUUUAGUUCCUACCACACUUACUCCUCAAAGACUGUUGAUUGGAUGGUUUAGUUCCUCAGAGACUGUUGAUUGGAUGGUUUAGUUCCUCAGAGACUGUUGAUUGGAUGGUUUAGUUCCUCAGAGACUGUUGAUUGGAUGGUUUAGUUCCUCAGAGACUGUUGAUUGGAUGGUUUAGUUCCUCAGAGACUGUUGAUUGGAUGGUUUAGUUCCUCAGAGACUGUUGAUUGGAUGGUUUAGUUCCUCAGAGACUGUUGAUUGGAUGGUUUAGUUCCUCAGAGACUGUUGAUUGGAUGGUUUAGUUCCUCAGAGACUGUUGAUUGGAUGGUUUAGUUCCUACCACACUUACUCCUCAGAGACUGUUGAUUGGAUGGUUUAGUUCCUCAGAGACUGUUGAUUGGAUGGUUUAGUUCCUCAGAGACUGUUGAUUGGAUGGUUUAGUUCCUCAGAGACUGUUGAUUGGAUGGUUUAGUUCCUCAGAGACUGUUGAUUGGAUGGUUUAGUUCCUCAGAGACUGUUGAUUGGAUGGUUUAGUUCCUCAGAGACUGUUGAUUGGAUGGUUUAGUUCCUACCACACUUACUCCUCAGAGAUUGUUGAUUGGAUGGUUCAGUUCCUCAGAGACUGUUGAUUGGAUGGUUUAGUUCCUCAGAGACUGUUGAUUGGAUGGUUUAGUUCCUCAGAGACUGUUGAUUGGAUGGUUUAGUUCCUACUUACGGUGCCAUGUGACCUCCUGCUUUAUGCCAACGGACCCGUGGCUCAGUUGUUUUGAGUUGCACAUCCAGGGAGAAGCUUCAUAAAGUAUGUAUAACACUACAUAAAGGAGGUAAUUAGACAUGUUACACAGGAGGACCAUAGAAGAUCCACAAGAAUGGUAUAAAAAGGGAGUGUUUUUUAUUAUCUUCUAAAAGGCAGGUCUGAAAGUAGGGAGUGUUUUUAAUCUUCUAAAAGGCAGGUCUGAAAGUAGGGAGUGUUUUCUUCUAAAAGGCAGGUCUGAAUGUAGGGAGUGUUUUCUUCUAAAAGGCAGGUCUGAAUGUAGGGAGUGUUUUUUUCUUCUAAAAGGCAGGUCUGAAAGUAGGGAGUGUUUUCUUCUAAAAGGCAGGUCUGAAAGUAGGGAGUGUUGUCUUCUUCUAAAAGGCAGGUCUGAAAGUAGGGAGUGUUGUCUUCUAAAAGGCAGGUCUGAAAGUAGGGAGUGUUUUUAAUCUUCUAAAAGGCAGGUCUGAAUGUAGGGAGUGUUUUUUUCUUCUAAAAGGCAGGUCUGAAAGUAGGGAGUGUUUUUUUCUUCUAAAAGGCAGGUCUGAAAGUAGGGAGUGUUUUUUAUUAUCUUCUAAAAGGCAGGUCUGAAAGUAGGGAGUGUUUUUUAUUAUCUUCUAAAAGGCAGGUCUGAAAGUAGGGAGUGUUUUUUAUUAUCUUCUAAAAGGCAGGUCUGAAAGUAGGGAGUGUUUUUUAUUAUCUUCUAAAAGGCAGGUCUGAAAGUAGGGAGUGUUUUUUAUUAUCUUCUAAAAGGCAGGUCUGAAUGUAGGGCGUGUUUUUAAUCUUCUAAAAGGCAGGUCUGAAAGUAGGGAGUGUUUUUUUCUUCUAAAAGGCAGGUCUGAAAGAAGGGAGUGUUUUUUUUCUUCUAAAAGGCAGGUCUGAAAGUAGGGAGUGUUUUUUUCUUCUAAAAGGCGGGUCUGAAUGUAGGGAGUGUUUUCUUCUAAAAGGCAGGUCUGAAUGUAGGGAGUGUUUUCUUCUAAAAGGCAGGUCUGAAAGUAGGGAGUGUUUUCUUCUAAAAGGCAGGUCUGAAAGUAGGGAGUGUUUUUUUCUUCUAAAAGGCGGGUCUGAAUGUAGGGAGUGUUUUCUUCUAAAAGGCAGGUCUGAAAGUAGGGAGUGUUUUCUUCUAAAAGGCAGGUCUGAAAGUAGGGAGUGUUUUCUUCUAAAAGGCGGGUCUGAAAGUAGGGAGUGUUUUCUUCUAAAAGGCAGGUAUGAAAGUAGGGAGUGUUUUUAAUCUUCUAAAAGGCAGGUCUGAAAGUAGGGAGUGUUGUCUUCUAAAAGGCAGGUCUGAAAGUAGGGAGUGUUUUUAAUCUUCUAAAAGGCAGGUCUGAAAGUAGGGAGUGUUUUUAAUCUUCUAAAAGGCAGGUCUGAAUGUAGGGAGUGUUGUCUUCUUCUAAAAGGCAGGUCUGAAAGUAGGGAGUGUUUUUAAUCUUCUAAAAGGCAGGUCUGAAAGGAGGGAGUGUUUUCUUCUAAAAGGCAGGUCUGAAAGUAGGGAGUGUUUUCUUCUUCUAAAAGGCAGGUCUGAAAGUAGGGAGUGUUUUUAAUCUUCUAAAAGGCAGGUCUGAAAGUAGGGAGUGUUUUCUUCUAAAAGGCAGGUCUGAAAGUAGGUGUUUGCUAUAGAAUCACUUUUACCUUUUACAUCACAUGGUUGAUUUAUAUGGACAGACACGGGGGAGGGGGCUGAUCCUAGAUCAGCACUUUAUGACACCCGACACUGUCCUGCCAGUUUACAUAGUCGUCGCCCCCCGACUGACAGUAUUCCUCAAUUGCAGAGAUGCUAAUCCGACAGAGUGACUGGAGAGAGUCCUCUCUGUAUCUCUGUCUCUGUCUCUCUCUCUCAGACGACCCUUUGUAAUGCCUCCAAUGCUACCUUUAACAAAUGCAAUGUAUGAUUACAUGUUUUAGGUGUUUUGGAAAAUGCUAUAAAAUGUUUUUUUUAAAAACAGGGUAAAGUGUUCAACUUGGGGAGGACAAUAAAAUUAGUUUUGAAUGUAAAAUGAA
Molecule: long non-coding RNA, 3558 nt
Organism: Oncorhynchus keta (chum salmon)
Lineage: Eukaryota; Metazoa; Chordata; Actinopteri; Salmoniformes; Salmonidae
Exons: 6
Source: RefSeq, a predicted model, not a curated record